RNAcentral lists this ribosomal RNA (253 nucleotides) under uncultured bacterium. Its description in RNAcentral is "partial 16S ribosomal RNA". It matches the Rfam family "Bacterial small subunit ribosomal RNA", at positions 524 to 776 of the family's 1533-position model. The record is from RNAcentral.
UACGUAGGUGGCGUGCGUUGUCCGGAUUUACUGGGCGUAAAGGGAGCGUAGGCGGACUUUUAAGUGAGAUGUGAAAUACUCGGGCUCAACUUGAGUGCUGCAUUUCAAACUGGAAGUCUAGAGUGUAGGAGAGGAGAAUGGAAUUCCUAGUGUAGCGGUGAAAUGCGUAGAGAUUAGGAAGAACACCAGUGGCGAAGGCGAUUCCCUGGACUGUAACUGACGCUGAGGCUCGAAAGCGUGGGGAGCAAACAGG